GUUGGCCCUCGAUCCGGGGGGGA
RNAcentral lists this ribosomal RNA (23 nucleotides) under Venturia inaequalis. Its description in RNAcentral is "partial 28S ribosomal RNA". The record is from RNAcentral. Lineage: Eukaryota; Fungi; Ascomycota; Dothideomycetes; Venturiales; Venturiaceae.